RNAcentral lists this unclassified non-coding RNA (252 nucleotides) under uncultured Candidatus Peribacteria bacterium. Its description in RNAcentral is "contains 16S-23S intergenic spacer region". It matches the Rfam family "Bacterial small subunit ribosomal RNA", at positions 524 to 776 of the family's 1533-position model. Lineage: Bacteria; Candidatus Peregrinibacteriota; Candidatus Peribacteria. The record is from RNAcentral.
GACGGAAGGUGCAAGCGUUACUCGGAAUCACUGGGCGUAAAGCGUCUGUAGGCUUCGUUCCACGUCUGACAUUAAAAUUCGGGGCUCAACCCCGUCCUGUGUUGGAAACGAGAACGAUAGAGUCAUUCAGAGGCAUCUGGAAUGUCGUAUGUAGGGGUAAAAUCCGUAGAUAUACGAUGGAAUGCCAAAAGCGAAGGCAGGAUGCUGGGAAUGUACUGACGCUGAGAGACGAAAGCGUGGGGAGCAAAGGGG